This is a long non-coding RNA of Adelges cooleyi (spruce gall adelgid), 520 nucleotides long. RefSeq lists it as uncharacterized. NCBI's taxonomy places the organism in Eukaryota, Metazoa, Arthropoda, Insecta, Hemiptera, Adelgidae. The transcript has 3 exons. The record is from RefSeq and is a predicted model, not a curated record.
AUCGCUGAAAAAUCGAAAUAAAAUGUUUUGUUGUUUUUAUAUUUCUUUGACAUUCCCAGUUCUAGCUAUAUGGGUGUUAUCACCAAUUAUAUUAAAUUAUUAUGAAAUGUAUAUACAAGAUUCGACUGACUUUGUCCGUAAGAAUGUUAUCAAUUUUUAUUAUCCCGUAUCCGAAAAAACGUACGCAAAAUUGUUUUACUUUUUUUACAUAAAUGAAACAUUAAUCGGAUUUUUCGUAUUAUAUUUUACGUGGAUGUUUGAUUUUUAUUUUUUCUCUUCGUGCUGGGCAAUAGCUACUCAAUAUGACACUAUAGCAACAGGAUUGAUGUCGUUCGGACACAACAUGAACAAAAUAAAGGAGCAAAAUCAAAUGUACGAAGACUUGAAAUUAAUCAUUUCGGAUUGUCAAAGGUUGCAUUUGUAUACGAAAGAAUUUUACACCGUAGUCCGACGCAUAGCAUUACUACAGAUUGUUGUUUGUUCCUGUUCGCUGAUAACUGGCUGUUUUAUCAUAUCAUUG